This 284-nucleotide ribosomal RNA is filed under the name uncultured bacterium. RNAcentral describes it as "partial 16S ribosomal RNA". It matches the Rfam family "Bacterial small subunit ribosomal RNA", at positions 55 to 339 of the family's 1533-position model. The record is from RNAcentral.
AUGCAAGUCGAACGAUGAAGUUCCUUCGGGAAUGGAUUAGUGGCGAACGGGUGAGGAACACGUGAGAAACCCGCCUUUCAGUUCUGGGAUAACACCGGGAAACCGGUGCUAAUACCCGGAUACUCCAUCUUGGCGGCAUCGCCGAGCUGGGAAAAAAUUUUGAUGAAAGAUGGUCUCGCGGCCUAUCAGCUAGUUGGUGAGGUAAAGGCUCACCAAGGCGACGACGGGUAGCCGGCCUGAGAGGGCGACCGGCCACACUGGGACUGAGACACGGCCCAGACUCC